RNAcentral lists this ribosomal RNA (113 nucleotides) under Clostridium sp. CAG:307_30_263. The record is from RNAcentral. Lineage: Bacteria; Bacillati; Bacillota; Clostridia; Eubacteriales; Clostridiaceae.
UCUAGUGAUGAUGGCAUAGUGGAUACACCUGUUCCCAUACCGAACACAGUAGUUAAGCACUAUAACGCCGAUGGUAGUACAUUUAGUUGUGCGAGAGUAGGAAGUUGCUAGGC